GAUGAACGCUGGCGGCGUGCCUAAUACAUGCAAGUCGAGCGAACAGACGAGGAGCUUGCUCCUCUGACGUUAGCGGCGGACGGGUGAGUAACACGUGGAUAACCUACCUAUAAGACUGGGAUAACUUCGGGAAACCGGAGCUAAUACCGGAUAAUAUAUUGAACCGCAUGGUUCAAUAGUGAAAGACGGUUUUGCUGUCACUUAUAGAUGGAUCCGCGCCGCAUUAGCUAGUUGGUAAGGUAACGGCUUACCAAGGCAACGAUGCGUAGCCGACCUGAGAGGAUGAUCGGCCACACUGGACCGGAGACACGGUCCAGACUCCUCCGGGAGGCAGCAGUAGGGAAUCUUCCGCAAUGGGCGAAAGCUUGACGGAGCAACGCCGCGUGAGUGAUGAAGGUCUUCGGAUCGUAAAACUCUGUUAUUAGGGAAGAACAAAUGUGUAAGUAACUAUGCACGUCUUGACGGUACCUAAUCAGAAAGCCACGGCUAACUACGUG
This 497-nucleotide ribosomal RNA is filed under the name uncultured bacterium. Its description in RNAcentral is "partial 16S ribosomal RNA". It matches the Rfam family "Bacterial small subunit ribosomal RNA", at positions 28 to 507 of the family's 1533-position model. The record is from RNAcentral.